UUUUUGUACAGUGUGUCCAUAAAAUUUCUAAAUAUAGUCAAAUAAGUAAAGUAUUUUUUUAAAAAGCAAAUGACUUUCAUGUGUAUCAUUUUUGUAACAGAUGAGGAUAGUGUUAAUGUCGUUUUCCAUUGGACGAACUUUGUUAUCACAACUGGAAUAGUUUUAUCCCUGGCUACCUUGUUAGCGUUAUUCUGUAUUAUAAAAGGGUAAAUUUUAUCAUAUUUCUCUGCAAAUAAUAUUUCAAUAUACACAUAUUAAGAAAUAGUUUACAGUAUAAUAUCAUCUAAACGGAAGAUAUCCAUCUUUUUUAAUUAUCAUUGGUUUGUUGAUGAAUUAGGCAUAAAUGAAAGUAAUAUAAAUUACUACAAGUCGCAUGAGCUCUGAAAUUUGAAUUGAGUGUAAUUUUAAACUGUGUUAUUUUAAAAGUCGAAAAAUCAAGGAAGUGAUUCCGAAACAUCGGCAUUGGAAUCAAACCUGUGAAGUGAAGAAGAGAUCGGCUGUGGACACCAAUGGCAUUCAAAUAUGUGUUGAUCUCGAUAUUAGCUCAAACAAAGAGAGAGCAAGGCACAAGGAACACAACACGAAGUUGUCAAAGAACCAGGAUGAGACACGUUUCAGAAAUUGGAAUACAUGCCAAAGAAAUGAAAUUCAAAAACCAGAAUUGUUCCGCGUCAACGAUGAUAAAGAUACAUAUUUAGAAAUGGACAAAAACAACAUAUGUUAUGCCAUUGUAGAGCUAGACAAAAAAAGUGAAUGUGAAAUCAACGAUGGAAAAGAAAUAAAACCAAACGCAUUCGAAGCGGACAGCAAACAUAUUGCUGUAAUAUGUCCUAAUGUAAAAACAUGAAUCAACUUAGACCCAAGAGUAACGGAGAGCUCAUCUGACA
Long non-coding RNA from Ruditapes philippinarum (Manila clam), 887 nucleotides. RefSeq lists it as uncharacterized. The transcript is spliced from 3 exons. The record is from RefSeq and is a predicted model, not a curated record. Lineage: Eukaryota; Metazoa; Mollusca; Bivalvia; Venerida; Veneridae.